GACGGAGGGUGCAAGCGUUGGUCGGAAUUACUGGGCGUAAAGGGCGUGUAGGCGGUCAGGUAAGUCAGAUGUGAAAUCCCUGGGCUCAACCCAGGAAUUGCAUUUGAAACUGCUUGACUUGAGUACGGGAGAGGAGAGUGGAAUUCCCGGUGUAGAGGUGAAAUUCGUAGAUAUCGGGAGGAACACCAGUGGCGAAGGCGGCUCUCUGGACCGAUACUGACGCUGAGACGCGAAAGCGUGGGGAG
This 245-nucleotide ribosomal RNA is filed under the name uncultured bacterium. RNAcentral describes it as "partial 16S ribosomal RNA". It matches the Rfam family "Bacterial small subunit ribosomal RNA", at positions 524 to 768 of the family's 1533-position model. The record is from RNAcentral.